ACCUUUUUAAUAUAUUAUAGUAUAUUUGACUUCCAAUCAGAAAGGCUAAAUUUAAAUUUAGAAAAGGUA
This 69-nucleotide transfer RNA is filed under the name Pylocheles mortensenii. Its description in RNAcentral is "tRNA-Gly". It matches the Rfam family "tRNA". From Rfam's summary of the family: Transfer RNA (tRNA) molecules are approximately 80 nucleotides in length. The record is from RNAcentral. Lineage: Eukaryota; Metazoa; Arthropoda; Malacostraca; Decapoda; Pylochelidae.